Molecule: ribosomal RNA, 496 nt
Filed under: Treponema lecithinolyticum
Lineage: Bacteria; Pseudomonadati; Spirochaetota; Spirochaetia; Treponematales; Treponemataceae
Description: bacterial SSU rRNA
Rfam family: Bacterial small subunit ribosomal RNA
Source: RNAcentral
AACGAACGCUGGCGGCGCGUCUUAAACAUGCAAGUCGAACGGUAAGGAAGGAGCUUGCUCCUUUCUGAGAGUGGCGGACUGGUGAGUAACACGUGGGUGACAUACCUUUUAGAUGGGGAUAGCUAUUAGAAAUAGUAGGUAAUACCGAAUGUGACCGUAUCUGUUAGAGGGAUACGAGGAAAGGAGCUAAGGCUUCGCUAAAAGAAUGGCCCGCGGCCCAUUAUGCUCGUUGGUGAGGUAACGGCCCACCAAGGCGAUGAUGGGUAUCCGGCCUGAGAGGGUGGACGGACACAUUGGGACUGAGAUACAGCCCAGACUUCUACGGGAGGCAGCAGUUAAGAAUAUUCCGCAAUGGACGAAAGUCUGACGGAGCGACGCCGCGUGGAUGAAGAAUGCCGAAAGGUUGUAAAAUCCUUUUAAGCCUGAGGAAUAAGCACAGUAGGGAAUGAUUGUGUGGUGACUGUAGGGCUUGAAUAAGCACCGGCAAAUUACGUGC